CCUACGGGUGGCAGCAGUGAGGAAUCUUGGUCAAUGGGCGCGAGUCUGAACCAGCCAAGUAGCGUGAAGGAUGACUGCUCUACGGGUUGUAAACUUCUUUUAUAAAGGAAUAAAGUGAGGCACGUGUGCCUUUGUGCAUGUACUUUAUGAAUAAGGAACGGCUAACUCCGUGCCAGCCGCCGCGGUAAUACGGAGGAUCCGAGCGUUUUCCUGAUUUAUUGGGUUUAAAGGGAGCGUAGAUGGGUUGUUAAGUCAGUUGUGAAAGUUUGCGGCUCAACCGUAAAAUUGCAAUUGAUACUGGCAGCCUUGAGUACAGUUGAGGAGGGCGGAAUUCGUGGUGUAGCGGUGAAAUGCUUAGAUAUCACGAAGAACUCCGAUUGCGAAGGCAGCCUACUAAGCUGCAACUGACAUUGAUGCUCGAAAGUGUGGGUAUCAAACAGGAUUAGAUACCCCAGUAGUC
This 460-nucleotide ribosomal RNA is filed under the name uncultured bacterium. RNAcentral describes it as "partial 16S ribosomal RNA". It matches the Rfam family "Bacterial small subunit ribosomal RNA", at positions 338 to 795 of the family's 1533-position model. The record is from RNAcentral.